UCAAUAUGUCUAGUUGCAUUGUGAAUUUGAGCUACACAAAUAAUAUCUAAUGCUAUUCGAAUAUGUAGGGUGCUUCUUGGUGGAGACCAGGAAGGUCUUCUAAUGCUUCCAACUGACAAGGCUCUUCUGGAUGACCCUGUCUUCCGCCCUCUUGUGGAAAAAUACGCUGCGGUGCGUGUCUUCAGUAGAACUUAUUCUUCCGUGUGCUUAUUCAUCAACUACUUGCAAUUACUGAUUGUUAAAUUUAUCCUUUUGUUUUUCAGGAUGAAGAUGCUUUCUUUGCUGACUAUGCUGAAUCUCACAUGAAGCUCUCCGAGCUUGGGUAAUUUUUUGAAUUACAAUAUUUUUCACCAACGGUUCUGGUUUCUUCAAUGUUUUAAUCAGCGUGGAAUUGGUUUUGAAUACGAUUUGUCGCUCUAAUUUUGUAGGUUUGCUGAGGCCUAAGCAGAGCUGGAGAACUACAAGGGAUGAAGCCAAUGCCUGUGCGCCUUUCUUUUGUAUUUUUGGAUGCCUCUUGGUUGUGAGGUUGUAGGCAGUUGGUGCUUUUCUUUUUUAUCUUAUCAGAUUUUAGGAAGUGGGACUUCUAGUUCGAUUUGAAGAACGAAUGUUUUUAAAUUGGAUGGAAUGCUGGUAAUCAUCCUCGUUGAUUAAAUAAUACUGUAAUUUCACUUCUCCGGUUUUGUUUUCCAUUUGGAAAUGUGGUGGUUUGGUUGUCGACGAGAGACUGACAUGCGCCCCUUGGAAUGUCGAAGGCAUCGCUAGGGAUGUAUGUUAGUCCGCUUGAGAGGUUUCACCGGGUUAGAAAUGGGUUAGCAAUAAUGUGGUACAAAUUUGUUUUUGGUGAGAAUCAAACUAAAGACUUUUUACUUAUAAGUGAAGAUGAUACUAUUAUAUUGUAAUACUAAAUGACAACAUUGUACCCGGUUUAAAUGUUCAUAAUUUCUUCAAUAAUUAACGAAAUUAAGUGAUUCAAAAACUAAAAUCAUACUUUUCGACGAUACGAAGAGAAUAGUACCUUUUUCAACGGCUAAAUCGUCGUGGUUUGGCUGAAAAACGGUUCGAAAGUAGUUGUCUUGGUCUAGUGUUAGCCACUCUCAAGCCGUUUUCCAGUCAAACCACGGUGAGUUAGCCAUCGAAAAAGGUACCAUUCUCUUCGUCUCAUCGAGAAGUAUGAUUUUAGUUUUUAAAUCACUUGAUUUCGUUGAGUAUUGAAAAAGUUAUGAACGUUUAAAGUUUACCCAGUUUUCGGCUAGUUUUCAAGUUUUCACUCGGAUCAGUCAACUUUGAGGCUAUUUUCCGGCAAUAUCCGGCAACCAUUGGGCUUCUAAAUAGGUAUAGUCUUAUUCUACACUUUCCUAUCUUCAUUUUGAUAUAUUAUGGGUCGAAUUUGGUUAAGAAACGAUUAAGUUACGAAACUUUGAAAAUUGCCUAAACUUCCGACCAAGAGCUCUGGGACACUUAACAGAGUUUUUAACCGAAUGACCAAAAUGAUGGAUGGUGGACAAUCUGAGGGACCACUUUUAUUGAUUUGGAAUCUCAGGGACCAAAGUGAUGAGUUAUGCAAAUCUCAUGAACCAUUUUGACGAUUUACCUGUUAUUGUAUUAUUGUUGUACCGUUCUACAUGUAAGCUCUCUUAGUUGAUUCGUGUGGCUUGAACUUCAAGCUUUCUUAAUUUUUUUGGGGGUGGUUUUCGACAAUGUCAAGCUAACUGGAUAACGAUACAGUUAAAAGCAGCACGAGGCUGCCAAGGGUGACCCAAAGACGGUCUAGUACAAUUACUACUGCUUCUUCUUGUUGGAGUGAACACUUUCUGGUUUGGGUUGGGCUGUACGUCUUCACACUUUCAAUUUGGGCUGCAAAGUCAAACCUUUUCGGCUCGGCUAACCUCAUCAUACAUGCUCGACAGAACUCGGCAGGUUGAUAGGCCUUGGCAUAUGGCCCCGGCAGAUCUCGACAUUUCCACUCUGUGCUUGACAAAAUGCCUUACUAACAGACAUAAGAAAUCGUAUGAACUUGAAAGAUUUUUGCACGCCGUCAACAUUGUUUUUUUUUUUUUUUUGUCAAAGAAAAAUUUUAAACUUUUAUACUAAAAACCCAUGCUAUAUGAUUCAUGAAUCUACCGUUGGAAGAGAAAGUUUGACAUAACAUUGUAUUAUUAAAUUUAAGCGCCAUGGUGACAUCUUGAAAAGUGCAUGUAAAUAUUUCCCUUUGUAAAUGUUGUGUGACUGCUUCUUGUAUCGAGUAGCGUAAUACGAAACACACACAGAAUGGUAAUAUUAAAUCAAACUUAUCCGAUAGUGUAAUGAGGUGAUAAUUUGGUCAAGGAAUUUAUUUUCCACAUUACUAUGGGAAAAGAUAGAGAAUUAGAAUGUAAACCUUAUGAAUAUUAAUUAGAAUGACAAUUUUAAGUAUAAUUUUAUUGAUAAUUUUUUUUCAAUAUGAUACAUUCCUCAUUGAAUUUCACCCAUAACUAGUAAAGGGUCCACCAUCAUACUAUAAUGUUUCCAAGACAUGAUACCAUUGUGUUUUCAUGCACAAAGUAUUCAUACAUAUAUGAUUGGAGGUCACCAAUCAUAGAAAAGGAAUCUCUUAGGAUAAUAAACAAUGACUAAUCUAUUAAUUAGGGAAAAUUAGGCUUCGGUCUCUAAUUAUUGAUACUCUUUGACUAAAACCUUGUUAUUUUUUACUUUUUGAUCAAAGUCCUUGAAGUUUGUACACAUCAGCAUUUUAUUAUCAACAUAUUUUCAUGUCAGCUUUUAUUUUAUUUUAUUGAAAUAGUUAAUAUUGCAUUUUUUUAUCCCAGGUUGCCUUUUUAUUCCAAUACUCUUAUGCCUCCAACGCCUCCUAUGCUUACCAAACUGAAUUGGCGCAUCCAUUCCACCAACUAAUCCCCCUCACUUGAUUUCUUCAGUUUUUUAUUUUCGUAACUGCAAAUUCCACAAUAAUCUCACUAAGUUUUUCAAAUCCAUCAUUAUUAUCUUUGAUAGGAUGCUUCAAAUUCAAGUUUCGCCAAGAUUUGAAUCGAAGUCAUACUUUAUCCGCGAGCGUUUGAACAUGUGCAAUUUUUUGCAGUGACACACCCUAAUCCUAGAAUCAAGGUGUGCUGGCCGUCACGUGAGUGUGACAUAACCAAAACUGCGGUGCGGAAGCAAAGGAUAUGAGAAAUACGAAGGAAUAAAAACCAACUACUAGCAGUAAUAUCCAACUAGCAUACUAGAGUGAGUUUAAGUGUGCAGUACACAAUUUCAGAGCAUAAAAGAAACUAGGUGCAGUCAAGUAGGACUAUAAUUAAGUUACAACACCCGCAGGUGAGUCCUACAUGCAGGAAGUCUGUCAGAACGCCGAAGAAAACCUCGUGAGCCACCAACUGCUAAUUAGAACCUGGAGGGGCGCAAAAACAAAAUUGAGUGGGUCAGUAAAACCAAAGUUUUCCAAAACAUUUCUAACUCAUCACUGUAAAACCUGUAUACUUUCCCAGAAAAUAACGUAAUAGCAUAUAAAACCUCAUACGUCACAAGUCACCAAUCUAUCACAAAUCCAAGAAUAUGCCAUGCCAUAAAUGUCAAUAACAAAACAUAGAUGCAUCAAAAUAACAGGUGACAUAAUGAAUUAACCGGAGACCCUGCAGUUGGUCCUGUACGGUUAAUUCCAUAGCUCAAUAUCCAACCCAGCCGGAGUCACCACGGUGACCUGUACGGCACUACUUUGCACAUAAGUCGGAACUACCUGAAGUAGUCUGUACGACAAGAAUGGUGUAAUGAUACGCCCUAGUGCUUUUCUCAUCAAUCAUCUGCACACGUAAUCUAAGGUCACCUACUAGUCGGAACCACCUCUAGUGGUCUGUACGUAGCAUGUCAGAACCCUCUCAUGGUCUGUACGACAUGCACCUACUUGGAUCCAAGGUGAGUGUGCGGUGUGGUGAAUAAUAUAAGCACUAACACCAGGGGUGCAGGUUAUGAGCUCUCAACACAAUUCACAUCAUCGAUGAUUCACAUGAUUAACAUAAAACUCACCUGAUACUCACUUGUGCGUCCACAGCACCAAUUCACAUAUAUAUAUAUAUAUAUAUAUGCAUUAAUAUCAACUCAUAUAAUUCAUAAUAUGCAUGCAUGGCAAUUGAAAACAUACUUUCAUAUAAAUUCAAUUUCUGGGAAAAUUAAUAGUAUAUAGGUAUAUACUGAAAACAAAACUGCCCACUCAUUGGUAAGUCGAUGGGUCGUAACCCCCGUGACGUCCCUGGAUGCGCUCGUCCUCGGGAUAGGUAUCACCUAUAAGCGAAACAACUAUAAAAACGUUAAUUUCAUGCACAUAACCAACAAUUCGAAAUAACUUCUCAUAUGGUGCUCAAUUUGGGUAUAUGAAUAUACCACAUCGACCUACUCGACGUCACGGACGUUGAGAAAUUUUUAGAAUUUUUUUUUUAAGCGGCACGCGCCCCCACGCGCCUGGACAGGCACGGGUUCACGCGCCCCCACGUGCGUCUUCUUCCUCGAGCUCGCCGGACUGAGUUUUCCGGUGGCCGGAAAACUGGAGAUUUUUCAAUCUCCUUGUUCUCCGUCGUUUCUCAACCGUUUUCUUCGUAUUUUAUAUCAAUUUGAAGCCCUCAACAUGUAGAAUCACAUUGGACUAAUUUAAGGCUCUAAAAACAACUAAAUCUCACCGGAAAAAUUCCAAGAAAAACCGGCCAACUUUGAACUCAGUGAUCCCGACGUCCAAAACCUUCAAACUAAGCACUCCGAGCUUCCUUAGGACCUCACUAAGCUCACUAUAAGCUCAAAAUUCCCUGAAAUUCAACAAUUCACGUGUGCAUGAACAGUGAUCUCAAGAUGGGUUUUGGAUUUCACGUGAUAUCGAGGGUUCCAAGUUCUAAAAAUUAUACCAAUGAACUCACAAGCUUGCAAGGAUUCACAAACUUACCUUUUUGACGUCGAUCCGUGAAGGUUGGAGGGUUUUUGAUCUUGGUCCGUACAAGUCGAGAGGGAGAGAGAACAAAUAAGAGAAGAGAGCACGGGGGAAAAAGGGAAGGGGUCCAGUGCGUGUAACCCGUGUGUGUGUGUGGUGCCUCAAAAACAGAUCACUUCAUCCCUAACCACACAAAACAUGCAUACCAACUUAAAUAAUUCUCCAAAAGUUCAUGGAAUAUGUGUAUUAGUCCAAAUAAUAUGUCACACACACACACACCUUAGCACCCGUCAAGGGUAAUUCCGUCAUUUCACGUCUUCGAGAAAUAAAAUCCCGAGAUGGGCUGUGACAUGCAGAGUAACUUGAAAAUCAACGACAAUUCCAAGCUAAAAAUUGAGGUAUUUUUUUCAUUUUUUGAAUUUGCACCCAUAAUUCAUUUAUACUGAUUUGUCAGUAAUGGUGGAUUCUUGGUGUUAUAAUUUACGUAACCAUAUUUACAGGUUGCGUAGUAUUGUUUUCACAAUUGGUUUUGCAUAUGUACAAUGAUUAUUUUUCAAUUUUUUUUUUGCAUGUGUUUGUACCAUACUUGACCAAUCCCGAAACUACUGAGCACCGGUCAACGUUAUACUGUCAAAGACCCAGAAAAGUUUGCCUCCAACCAGGAGGCCAAUCACAGCACGACACGUGUUGACAUCAUAAGCCAAUCAUAGUGCGACACGUUUCAACAUCAGAAGCCAAUCACAACACGACAUGUGUUAAUGUCAUAAUGAAACUAGAAACUCUCUUCUAUAAAUAGAGAUCAUUUUCUCACAAUAUUUCCUAAUGUCAUUUGUACUAAAUCAUUCACUAGUACUCACUAAUGACAUGUUUACGUAAGGGUAAUCGGAAUAAAGAAAGGGAAUUGAAUUCCGAUUACGGAGUAUUCCGGUGUUUACUAAAUAUUAAGGAAUAAAAAAAGUGGUGGAGCCCACACGAAACAAGGAAUCCAAUUCCUAAAAUUGGAGGAAAGGGAUUCCCUAGUUUUGUGAGGUAUUAAGGGCAAGGGAAUCAGGAAUGCAUCUUUUAUUCCAAUUAUGCCCUCACUUGUUUCUUAUUAUCCCAACAUUGCCCUUCAUUUGACACUCAUUAUGUCAUUUUUAAUAAAUAAAUAAAACCUAUUUAUAUAUUUUUAUAUAGAUAAUUUAAUUAAGAAUUUAAUUUAAUUAUUUUGUAUGAAAACAAUUUAUUUAUGUAAGGGCAAUUUAGUCAUUAACUUAGUUUUCAUUCUGGUUGAAGUGAAUUAGUAAACAACUUAUAUGGACUCAACAUCUUUCUUGCCAUCUUUUAAUAAAUAAAUAAAACCUAUUUAUACAUGCUUAUAUAGAUGAACUUUAUUAUAUAAAUUUAAUUAAGAAUUUAAUUUAAUUAAUUAGUAUGAAAAUAAUUUAUUUAUGUAAGGGCAAUAUAGUAAUCAACCUAGUUUUCAUUCCGAUUGAAAUGAAUUAGUAAACAACUUAUAUGGACUCAACAUUAUUUCUACUCCGAUUCCUGACAGUUUUGGUAAACAACUUCAACAUGAAUCUGAUUCUGAUUUCACCUCAUUUCAAUUCAUUCUCAAUCCAAUUCCCCCUUAAUCCAAUUCCUCUCAAUUUGAUUACGGUUUAGUGAUUGUGUAAACCUUUCACAAUUAAUGAGAACUCCUUUACUCCGUGGACCUAGCCAAUCUGGGUGAACCACGUACAUCUUGUGUUUGCUUCCAUGUCUCUAUCCAUUUACAUACUUAUCCACACUAGUGAUUGGAGCAAUCUAGCGAAGGUCACAAACUUGACACUUUCUGUUGUACUAAAGUCCUCAUUGAUUUUGUGCAUCAACAACAUGUAUUGGGGAACUUCAAUGAGUUCAGUAUGUAUCUUGUGGUUUUGCAAUGUUUUUCUAGUGCACACCAAGUGUUUAUCGAAAUGUUUGAAAGAGAAUUUUGUAUACGAAAAUUUUGUAUGCAUAGAAACUGUUUAAAAAUUCUUGAAUAAGUCCUUAAUUUUCUCUAUUGUGGUGUGCAUUGCAUUGUAUACAUUUUUUUUAACAAUGGUUCAUGUGUUGAUGUGUUGAAAAUUACUAGAGUUGUAGAAGUAUAGGCAGAAAAACAGAGCAGAUAAGUUAAAGGAGGACCAGCUAAGGCAAAGAGUUUUUGCCAUCUAUUUUUCAGUUUGACGUAUACCCUUUUUAUUUUUUGGUUUUGGGGGGGGGGGGGGAUAUGAUAAUUGGACAUGGUUUAAUUCAUGGGAAAUUUAACGAAAAGCUUCUGAUACUGUUCACUAUAAUGAAAGACCACAUUUUUACAUUAAAAAGUCAAUCAUGGUACUAUUCACUUUACCUUUUAUUUUGUUCUUAUGGUUAAAAUUCAAAAUUUUUAAGCCAGUUUUAUUAGUUUUCCUUUAAUUCAUCUUUCUUGUUUUCCUUUUGGAAAUUUAUUGCACUUUUUCAUGUCAAGCUAGAAUGCUUUGGGUUAAUGUUGUAUCCACUUUCUUUUAUCUUUUCAGAUGGAAUGUGCUAUAUUGGGGAGAUGCACUCAUCAGGGUACCACUAUAUCUAUUCCAAUUUUUUGCCACACUACAUUCUCUGAAGUGUACAAUGAGGUUUGCUCAAGGCCUAGUAAUUUGACUCAUGAUUUAUUCGACCUUACAUAUGCUUUACCUGGAUAUUCUACUUGUCUAUUGCAAUCUGAUAUGGACGUAUGGAUGUUGCAUAUGUCGGUUGUCAAUGAGAAAUAUUAUUGUGUUGAUAUAGCUAUCAACCAAAAGUCGUGUCGUGACAAUGAUCGUGUCAGCUGAAAUACCAAUGCUUCACAAACAUUUAUAAUUGAAGGAAAUAUUCACAACAAUAGAAAUGAGUAUUUAGGGAAAUAUGCAACACCGGGAGGCAAGGUAUAUUUGUCAAACUCUUGGAAGACCUACAUUAAUCAUGUAAAUCAAGGAUUUGAAGGCAGAGUGGAAGAAUUCAGAGACAAACUUUGUCACUAUGCAGUUCAAACGUGAUUCACAUUUGUGUAUGUGAAGAAUGACAGUGAAAAAGUUACAAUUGUAUGUAAUAAGAAAUAUUCUGAAGGUUGUCAGUGACAUGUGCAUGCAUCAGUAUGUCGUGUUAACAAUUUCUUUUACAUGCCGCAUUCGUGCUAACUUCAUAUCGUUAUUGUACUGCUUUACUAUUUUAGCAACAUAUGUGUCAAUUUUUUUGCAAAACACAAAUGUAACAUGACCAUCACGAUAUGCCUUAAACGAGUUCCAAAAUUGUGUUUUUUUUAUCUCUUUGUCAUGCCCAUCUUGAAUAAAUCCUUCCAUUUUUGGGUACAACGGGCUAUGUAUGUUAAGGCAUCACGAUAUGCCUUAAACAAGUUCCAAAAUGGUUGUUGACGAGAGACUUGUAUGCGCCCCAGAAUGUCAAGGCAUCACGGGCUAUGUAUGUUAGUCCGCUUUUGUGAUAACCUCGAUUUUAAAAAUGGAUUAGCAAUAACGUGGUUUAAAUUAUUUUUUGGUGCGAAUCAAACUUAAGACAUUUUACUUAUAAGUGAAGAGGAAUACACUAGAUUACUAAGUGAGAACAUUGUACCUGGUUUAACUAUGUUUCAAUCGACUUUGAAAUGAAAGAAAGGCACCGAAAGGGUUUUCAUAAUUUGAAACCAAGUAGACCACAACUCCUAAAACGUGAUUGCUCUCGUCGGACCAGUUAGACCAUAACUCCCAAACCAAUUAGAUAGGUGAUUGCUCUCGUCGAACAGAAAACUCCUAAAACGUUUUCGUGUAAAACAUAUAAUUGUAGUGUUAUCUUCUCUACUUCAUUGAAAGAAAGAAAGAAGUGCUGGAAGUUGCAUUUUCCAUGUGCUUUGCCAACUUCUUGGUCCACUUGAUGAGAAAAAUUUAUGUAGCACAAGUACAUCGCAACAUGGUGUUUUGUGUCAAUGAAACAAAGCAAUGUCGAUAAAAACUAACACAAAUUAUAAGUGUUUAUUUUGUUGGUACAAGCCGUAUUGUACUAUUUUAUUUGUGUCAUGUAAGUUUUUUUCAUGAGUUGUUAUUGUAUUAUUGUGGUACCGUUGUGCAUGUAAGCUCUCUUAAUUGAUUUGUGUGGCUUGAACUUGAAGCUUUUUUAUUUAUUUAUUUAUUUUUAUUUUAGAAAACUAGAUAUUAAUCAUUGAAAAAGAUUUAGUUUAAAAUAAUACCGUAUGCAAGAUUAACAAUUGAAUUAAGUCCCUAGCCAAAUAGCCAUGUCAUCCUACAUUAUUCCACAUUAGGUUGUCAUUUAUAUCUUUGUUGGUUUCUGUUUUAUUCUUCUAAUUAUACCAUUUUGUGAAUGUUUGUAACGAAGAUGGAUUUUUUUUUGUUAACAAUCAUAGGACGUCAUUUAUUAUAGUUUUUUUUUAAUGUAUAAUGUAUAUGAUACUUCGCAGUAGUUUUUUUUUAAUUCUCAUUCCAAUUUCAAACUGAUUUUAGUUCAUAUUCCAGAAAUUAGUAAUUCAUUUUUCUAAAAUUAAAAGGGCUAUGUAUAUAGUUGUUUGGGCCCAAAAUAAUGGUUUGGGCCGAGUUUUAUUCUCAGCCCGGAAGAUACGAAAGGUUAUCGUGGAUCGUUUAGCUCAUGGGCUUCCUAACCUAGGUCGGCCAAGUCGUGCUACAAGACGAGUAAUUGAAUCCUCGCACAAUAAGGAGUCUCAGCAAGAUAUAGAUAUUGAUAACCCAGAAGUGAAUGCGGCUUGAUAAAGGACCGGGUUCAUAGUCAUAGUGAAAAUAGGAUUGGUCGAGAUAGUGUUUGGUUAGAAUAAGGAGUCCUAAUCCGAGUAGGGAUAUAACUCGAUCUAGAGAAGACCUGAUGCUAUAAAUAGAGGAGGUUGUGCAUCAUUCAAACCCCCUUCAAUUCAACACACAACUGCCCUGCGCAAAUUCUCUCAACAACCAUGAGACUUUUUCCUUUUCUUUUUUCGCCGACACACCUUCAGUUUGGAUAAACAGCACUGUGAAGGCAACCGGUGAUAUCUUCAGUCGACAUAGAUAGUGUUGUCACCGUAGAACCAGCUGGUCUCGCAGCAUCUUCAGUCGACAUAGAUAGCACUGCGUCGAGAGUGACCAGUUAUCUAUCCAAGUCUCGGUCGAAAAGGAUUCCCGAAUCCUUAUUGGUUGAGGUCAUCUCAUUAGCUUUCUCGACAAAGUGAGGUGUUACAGUUUAUUAGGCUUGGCACAUUGCAUGCCGAGUUAGUUUAUGAUUGGAUACUCUCAAGUAGGAUUUAGAGUUCGGCAUUCCGACUGCUGAACCACGUUUAUUGUUAAGACAUAUAUCCGCUUUGAGUAUUUGUGCCCUUACACUUUGGUGUUGAUUUACUCUGACGAAUACCAUCACUGUGACCGAAUCCGACAAUGACGAUUUGUGAGCUUCGUAAGAAUAGUAGUCUUGUCUUCAGGUUCAAGAACCCAAGAGGCCGAAACGUGUUCCUUCCUCGGUCGCAAUCGCAAGACGUAGAAGUCGGCCGCGCACUCAUCACAACAUCAUCAUAUUUUACUCCUCGGCCGAGCUUGGCCAACGAGUUGGCAGGUCCCGCAUUCAACCGAAAGACGUAGUUAGCUCAUAGAUUACUCGACCUGCGCGCCACGUAGGCUUGGUAGUUUUUAGGGUCAACAAUAGUAUAUUGUAAUGUCAUCACUUGAUUUUCACCAUGGAACUUAAGGUACAAAUAUUUAGGUGCAUUUGACUAGAUACUAUGAUUUAGGUGCAUUCAUAUACCGCAUUCAUGUAGGUACUAUGAUUUAGGUGCAUUCCUGAAGGUACUAUGAGAGUUCGUUUUAAUCAGUGUGGAAUUGGUUUUGAAUACGAUCUGUUGCUCUAAUUUUGUAGGUUUACUGAGGCCUAAGCAGAGCCGGAGAACUACAAGGGAUGAUUCCGAUGCCUGUGCGCCUUGCUUUUGUAUUUUUGGAUGCCUCUUAGUUGUGAGGUUUUAGGCAAUUGGUGGUUUUUUUUUUUUUUUUCAGAUUUUAGGGAAGUGGGAUUUCUGGGUCGAUUUGAAGAACGAAUGUUUUUAAAUUGGAUAGAAUGCUGUGGUACUCAUCCUCUUUGAUUAAAUAAUACCGUAAUUUUCACUUAUCCGGAUGAGAAUGGUAUCGGUGCAGGCUUGGAUGCCUUAGGUAGGAGAGUAAUAUUCAUCCAUCUCAUUCGCAUAUAUUUUCAUUUGAAAGAAUUAUUACUGUCUAAUUAUUAUUUAAUUGGUACUUUUUGUUGUGAAGUAAUAUGUGCAUUAUUGUUAUUCCGUAUUCGAUAUAUGUUGUGUAAGAUUUUGUUAUAUGAUAUAUGGUGUAAUCGUUAUAAUUUUAUUUUAUUUUCUAUCAUAUCUUGGAUGUAGAAUUUAUUUCUAUAGUUAAGAUAUAGUUUACACUCUUAACUCAUAAAUAGUUUUUAUUCGCGGGUCAGGAAGUGACAUGAUAAGAUAGCAACACUAAGGAUGUUAAGAAAUUGGUAGUAGAAUAAGUGAUUCAACUCCUUAUAUGUCUUUUAAGGUUGCUUAACUUUUUGAUUGGGAUAAUUCUUGAGAAUGUGAAGAAUUAUUGCACAUCAGGCUUUAGAUAAUUAGGGGCGGGUCACUUUAUUUUUUUCACAAAACUUUUGACAUACGUUUUUUCACAGCCUACUUUAUAAUGUAUUUAACGAUCUAAAUCGUAUAUCUUUUUGAACCGUCUAUGAUAUGAUUUUUUAGGGGUUCUUUUGCUCGUCAGCGGUUUCUUUUGCAUUUUACAAAAAAUUGUCUAUAACUUUAAAAAAAUAUUAUGUUUAUUCAAAUUCUUAUUCCGUCAGCCAAUACUAUCACCUAAAAAAAACUUAAAUCUUGUUUGUUUCUGAAUGAGGCUCAAUGCUUGCAUGUUUGUAAUACAUACUUUUUAAAUGACAUGUUCUUCGUUCGUAUUUUCCUUUGUUUUAAGUCAAGUUAAGAAAAAACUUUUGAAACUAUGAACUUAUUUUUUACUGAAAAUAUGACUUUAGUCCUUGGAAUUCAAUUUUCUUCACAUAAAACCCAACGUAAAUUUUUUGCUCAAAUAAAACUCAUUAACUAGACUCCAUAUAAGCAAAUUCAUUAAUUAUGUUUGACUUUACCCAUUUAAAAUUUUUUGGAUGCCUAAAACACCCUUAUUGAAUGUUUAAUGUACACAAUUAAUUCUAUGCAAAUUGUAAAGGAGAAUUAAUGAUUUUACAAAAAUAAUAUUUUGCAUAUAAAUGUAGGGAUUUGUUGGUUAGUUUGGCUCUCGAAUUCCAAUUUACCAUUACAACAUGUCCAUAUUAUAUAUAGGUAAUUAUUGUACUUUAAAAUAUAUAAAAAAAUUGUUGUCAAAGUAAAAAUAUAUAAAUUAAAGGAGAUAAAAAUUGCAGGUAAAUUAAUUUUAGGACAAAGAAAAAGAAAAGAACCAACUAUAGGUAAAUUAUUUACAUAUACAGUCUAGAUAUUUGAUUCACAUAAAAAAUGUACGUAAAUCACGUGUGCAUAAUUUACCUACCAUUAUUGAAAUUUACCUACUUGCAUAAUUUACCCACUAUUAUAUUAAUUUACCUACUUGUAUAAUUUAGGAAAAAUGCCAACAAAACAUGAGAAUAUUAUUUGCAUAUAUCAUAGGUAAAUUGCUUAAAGAAAUAUGAGAAUAUUUUGUUUAUAUAUUGUAGGUAAAUUACAAUAUAUAGGGCGAUAUUAUUUAUAUUAAAGUAGAGAUGUUUAACUAUUAUAUAUAAGGAGAAUAAUUACACCGAAUAAUAAUGUAGUCCUUAUUUAAAGUAAUGCACUGGAUUGUUGUAGAAAUUAAAAAUAAAUAAAUAGAAAAAACGUCAGGAUGAUUAAUUAGAUUUUAAGGCCCUUGAUUGAAGCUAAUUCUCAAGUGUGGGUUGUGGCAAAAAUUGUAAAUAAUUUGUAUUAGUAGGUGUUUGGGCCCAAAAUAACAGUUUGGGCCGAGGGAGGUAUCACUUUCGGCCCGGGAAGACGUACGGCGAGAGAGUCAUGGGGGCGUUCAGAUCAUGGGCUUCUAGGCCUAGAUCGGUUAAAUCAGAGUGCAAGUCGAGUCCUAAUACAAUAGGGACCCUCGACGAGAUCAGUAAAACUAGAAGGCGAAUCCGGCUCAGUUAAGGACUAGAUUCGUAGUCCUAGCAGAGAUAGGACUGAUUGAGGUAACGUUAAUCCGGAGAGGGAAACCUAGUUCGAAUAGGAUUAGAACUCGGGCUCGGUGUUCUGCUACUAUAAAUACAAGACAUUCAGCAAUGGAAAAGCACCACAAAAAUCAAUACAAAAUUGCCCUGCGCAAACUCUCACAACUUGAGAUCUUUUUCUUUUCCUUUUUCGCUGACACAUCUUCCGUUGGCAUCAACAGCACUGUGGAAGCAACCGGUGAUAUCUUAAGUCGGCAUAGAUAGCUCUGUCACCGUAGAGUCGGUCGGUCUCGCAGUAUCUUCCGUUGGCAUCAACAGCACUGCGGCGAGAAACGGUCGAUUGCCUAUCCAAGUCUCGGUCGAGAAGGGUUUUCGAAUCCUUGUUGGUCGAGGUCAUCUCAUUAGCCUUCUCGGCGAGGUGAGGUGUUACAGUUAUUACAUUCGGCACAUUGUAAGCCGAAUUCGGUUCGUGAACUUUGUAAGAAAUAGCAGCCUUGUCUUCAGGCUCGAGAACCCAAGAGGCCGAGACGCGUUCCUUUCUCGGCCGCAAUCGCAAGACGCAGAAGUCAGUAGCGCGACCCAACGCAGCAUCAUCAAAUUUACUCCUCGGCCGAGCCUCGGCCGACGAGUUGGCACGCCCCGCAAUCACCGAAGGACGUAGUUAGCUUAGAAUAUAUUCGGCCUGCGCGCCACGUAGGCUUUGUAAUUUCUAGGGUCAACAUUUUGGCACGCCCAGUGGGACCUAGUGCUAAACUACGAAGUUCAUGCCAAUUGAAACACGAUCGGUAAAAAAGAAAACAGCUAUGGGAAAGUCGACAGCCGAUUUACCGAGUCAGAGCAUAGGACAGAGUGUGCCACAGGCGCAGAAUCCCCUUAGCGUUGGUACACCUGAGUCCACGAGCGCGACUCGCCGAGAGAGAGAACUUAAUCUCGGCGGUCAACUCCGUGGUUUAGAAAUCCCCAACAGAAACACAUGCGUUCUCAAUGAAGGGAUAAUAGAGGAAUGUGACGAGGAUGGUGGUGAAGGAUCAGACCCACCAAUGAGGUCGUUUCUCCGAAAGCGACUGGACGAGCAGUCUCGGUCAGUCGAGCAGACGUUCAGUCGAGGCAUUGACAAGCUGCAGAACGCGAUACUCAGCAGUGCCAAUGAUCGGCAAACCAAACUGCUCGAAAUGCUGGUUAGCCAAGUUGGUGGCAGCAGGCCUUUCGAUCUUCGCCAACCUUGUUUACCAGAAAACAACACGGUACCGACCGAUUGUACCGGCCGAACCUAUUCCUGCCCCGCUCAAAACAAUUAACUUGGAGAAGGGAGGAGGGUCGAACAGUAGGUCAGACGGGACCGACCAAAGGGUCGAAGCAGCAUCUGUUGAUAUGACCGAAGUUCGGCGGAUGAUCGACUCGGCUAUGAAGAAAGGGCCGAAGUUUCCCAAGUUUAUUCAUCCGUACCCAGCUUACGUGGAGACGUUUGGAUACCCGAAGGGCUUCAAGAUCCCAGAUUUUAGUCUUUUUGCUGGUGAAUCGUCCCUGUCUUCGUUGGAGCACGUGGCUCGUUUCACCGCGCAAUGUGGAGAUGUGAAUAGUGAUUUCCACAAGUUACGGCUGUUCAAUUUUUCAUUGACCGGCUCGGCAUUUGCCUGGUACAUCAAUCUCCCGCCUAAUUCCGUCCAAAACUGGGAGGAGUUGGUCGAGAAGUUCCACGAGCAAUUUUAUCGGCCGGGGAUGGAGAUGUCAGUUUCUUCAUUAGCACGGAUGGCUCAAGCAUCUGAUGAGUCACCAAUGGAUUAUCUUACUAGGUUUAAAUCGGCUAGGAAUUGGUGCCGAGUGCCCUUACCCGAAGUCGAAUUUGUCAGGCUUGCUUUGAAUGGUCUUGACGUCGAAUACAAAAAGAAAUUCUUGGGGGCAAAUUUUCGGGAUAUGUACGAAUUGGCCCAGCAUGUCGAGCAGUACGAUUAUUUGCUCCGCGAGGAAAAGACUUCGAAGACUCCAACUCGGGGAACGAUUUACAAGAACCCUACUGUCAAUUAUGCAUCAACCGAGGAUGAAUGUGUUAGUGUGGAUGCGGCUGAGAUAGUAAUAGAUAAACCAUACAUUUGCAAGGCAUUGACUCAGGUUGAUUCUAGAGAAGCCAAAAGUCGCUCGGCCACUGAAGGAACAUCGAAACCGUCAAAGGUUUAUAUACUUUUGAUAUUACCAAGGCUGACGUAAUUUUUGACCAACUGUUAUCAGCAAGAAUCAUUAAGCUUCGGCCUGGUCAUAACAUUCCUAAGGCCGAGGAGCUUAAAGGAAAGGUGUAUUGCAAAUACCACAAUUCGAGCAAACACACGACAAACAAUUGCGUCGUAUUUCGUGAUAACGUCCAAAGCUGGAUUGAUAAUGGCAAGCUGAAGUUCCCCGAGAAGAGGAUGAGUGUUGAUACUGAUCCGUUCCCCACGGCAACAGUCAAUAUGGUCGACGCGUACCUACCCAAGGACAAAGGGAAAGGCAAGGCUGAAGUGGUUGAGACACAACGCCCGCGGAACCAGAAUGUUCGGCCACGGUUCAUGGCCGAUUCGCGUUCAAAUAAACCAUCUGCGGCCUUAACGGGGCCCGCUAUUGUCAAAUCUUUGACGGAGUGUAGCGCCAAUGAAGAUAGUGGGACAGCGGUUCUGUGCAGGAAAUGUAAAGCGAAGGUCGACAGUGAACCAGAAGAGAAACCUUCUUCGCAACCCGUGGCCGCAACUCGGCCAAAGAUAGCCAAUGAAGACCAACAUCAUGGGGUUUUUGGGAGGCUCGGUCCUAAAGUACGGAUGGAAGAGACACCCCCAGUCAGGCGGCGCCUUGAUUUUGAUGCUUCAUUUUAUGACGAUGAUUACUAUAAGCGUAAUUCUAGCAGUUUAGGAUCAUCACGGAGUCAAAAGACCUUCAAGCCUCCUGAGCCUAGAGAUCAACGUUGGUACACAUACCAUUCUUCGAAGGGCGUCUAUACCGCGUUGUCCAAAUCUCAAAAACGCCGGCAUCAACGGAUAGAUUGCAUGGCUCGCCGACAAGUAGCCCAACAAACUUCGGCCCCUAAGUGGCGACCGAAGGAUACAGUUGCCACUAAUGAAAAGCGACCACCUCCACCAAUUAUGACAGAGUUGGCUCAGGGGAAACGGCUGGUCGAUCAAGACGUCGAGACCAUGUUUGAAGAAGCUGAUAAGCGGAUCAAGCUUCUCAUUCGACCAGGGGAAAUAAAGGCACGUGUUGAACAUUUCAGGCAAAAGGCCGAAAGCAAAUUAUCCCCGCUAGCUAUACAAGAGCCUUUGGUCAAAAUUCGACGGAAUUUUGCACCCCCCCCGUUCCUUGGGGAGUCUUUGGAAUAUAUGCGAGAAUUUCAUAAGGAACAUUCGGCCAACGAUUUGUAUGGUUUGCCGAAGGCAUGUCAGGACACCAUUGAUCUUGUCUUGACUUGUCCGGAUGCUGAGCGGAUCAUCCAGAAGACCUCAGAUCCAGGAUUGAAAGCAAGGUUCCAGCACAUACGAGAAGCUCGUGUCUUUGGAUUUGAAGUUGACCCGUAUACCGAUAUCGAUGUCGCUGACCUUCCUUUCUCGCUAGAGGACCUUCAAUAUUUACGGUAUCACUUUGAAGUAUUUUCGGCGGUUUCUCUCUUCGGCCUUACGACCGAUGAAAUCGCCCGUAUUGCCCGUCUGGAUGCUUAUCUCGACACUAGGGAUGCUCGGCUACACUACCAGGAGCAGGUUCAGGACUUGACCCCAAGCUCAUUGUCAAUCUCGACCUUACCUGAGGCGGUCACGCAGAGCCAACAAGUGGCCGAAGCAGCUCCGCCGAGUGACAUUAUUGAAGGGACGGAAGAAUCUCGUUGUCCGACUCUGACGACAACUGAGUCCGUAGUCGCUAACCAACCGAACGAGGAGGAUCUCGACCAGAUGGGCCCGUCCGUCCUGGAUAAUAUGGAAAUUAGUAUGGUUUCAUGUAUUACCUGCCGAUUUUCAAUCAAGCACGGCUCAACCAAAUUUCCUCGAUGGAGAUGUGGUUGUCGAGGAACCUGGCCAUGUUGAUUUUAUAUCGAUUUGCGAAUUGGCUCGAGUCAACAGCAAGAGAUGAUAGCCUAAAGGCCGGCCGAAUUUUAUCGUUUCCGUUUAAAGCUUUUUUGUCCAUUUAAAGCCAUUGUAUGUAACGGCACACAUCGAGGGAUAUCCGGUUUCUAAAGUUUUUGUCGAUUGUGAGCUACUGUCAAUAUCAUGCCCCUGAACAUCAUGAAGGCCUUACGCCGUUCAAAUGACGAACUUAUUCCGUCAGGGAUCACAAUGAGCAGUUUUGUCGGCGACAAGUCCCACACCAAAGGUGUGCUUCCGUUAACUGUGAAUAUUGCCGGUCGCACCCAUAUGACCGCCUUUUUUGUGGUUGAUUCCAAAACCGAGUAUAAUGCACUGCUCGGCCGAGAUUGGAUUCAUCAAACCAGCUGUAUUCCUUCCUCAUUGUACCAAGUGCUUGUCUUUUGGGACGGUAAAUCGGUCACUGUUCAUUCGGCCGAUAGCCAGCCCUUCGAAGCCAACAUGAUUCAAGCACGGUAUUAUGACGAUCACGUCGGCUAUAUUACGUUGCAAGGCUUCAAUGAAGAGGGACGGCCGACUCGGAUUUCCGUUCAGAAAGCUAUCGAGGUUGGCGCCGAGACUGUCCAGCAGGAUUCGGCGAGACUCGAAUUAGCUAACUUUCUCCCCGAAACCGAUGUUUGACGCCGAUCGGGAAGCACGUAGGGCCGCGGUUUCAUCUACUAUGGAACGACUGCUGGCCCAUUGGUAUACGAUAUCUAAACAACCAAAUUCGGCCGUCAACCUCGUCGAGUUCCUUGCUGAGGGAGAUAAUGGGCCUGUAUUAUCUUUUGAUAAAAUUCGAGCCGCCCCGGCCGAGCUCGAAGAUCAUCGGCCCCUUGUUAAGGACCCUUUGGAAGAGAUUAAUGUUGGGACGGCCGAUGACCCACGACUUUUGUUUAUUAGUGCGUUACUUCCUCAACAAAUGAAGGACGAGUUGCGGGCCUUGCUUACGGAAUUCAAAGAUUGUUUUGCUUGGAGUUAUCAUGAAAUGCCCGGCUUAGAUCGUGCUUUGGUCGAGCAUGAAUUACGUAUUAAGCCCGGAUUCAAGCCUUUCCGUCAGCCACCUCGUCGAUUCUCGACCGAAGUACAACUCAGUGUUAAGGACGAAUUAGUUCGGCUUUUGAAAGCCGGGUUCAUUCGGACAGCUCGAUAUGUCGAAUGGUUGGCGAAUAUUGUUCCUGUAUUAAAGAAAAGUGGUGCACUGCGCAUCUGCACCGAUUUUCGCAAUCUGAAUCUGGCAACGCCCAAAGAUGAGUAUACAAUGCCGAUUUCAGAUCUGUUAAUUGAUGCCGCGGCGAAUCAUGCGAUCUUAUCUUUUCUGGAUGGACAUGCCGGAUACAACCAAAUAUUUAUUGCCAAAGCCGAUGUGCACAAAACUGCUUUCCGGUGCCCGGGGGCACUCGGCACUUACGAAUGGGUUGUCAUGCCAUUCGGCCUCAAGAAUGCCGGCGCUACGUACCAACGGGCGAUGAACACCAUCUUCCAUGAUUUAAUUGGCACCAUCGUCGAAGUUUAUAUCGAUGAUGUUGUCGUCAAAUCUAAACGCCGACAGACACAUCUGGACGAUCUCCGACAGGCUUUCCUCCGUAUGCGUCAGCACAACCUCAAGAUGAAUCCUGCCAAGUGUGCCUUCGGUGUAUCGGCCGGGAAUUUUCUUGGUUUCCUCGUACAUCAUCGUGGGAUUGAAGUCGAUGAGAACAAGGCACGCGCAAUCAUCACCGCCCCACCCCCAACAACGAAGAAACAAUUACAGUCCUUACUCGGCCAGAUCAAUUUUUUACGCCGAUUUAUUGCCAAUUCGGCAGGUAAACUGAAAGCCUUUUCCACACUUUUGAAACUCAAGGACUCCGAUAAGUUCAUGUGGAAUGAGGAGCACCAGGCGGCGUUCACACAGAUCAAGGUUUCCCUUACAAACCCACAUGUCCUGGUCCCUCCUCAGCGCGGUAAGCCUCUCAAGCUGUACAUUUCGGCGGCCGACGAGUCCAUCGGUUGCCUCCUCGCGCAAGACAAUGAUGCCGGCCGGGAACAGGCUAUCUUCUACCUCAGCCGUAAUCUGAGUCCUCCGGAGAUCAAUUAUUCCACCGUUGAGAAGCUCUGUCUCGCCGUGUUCUUCGCUGCAUCCAAGCUUCGGCAUUACAUGCUCCCGUCGGUCACCCAAGUCAUUGCCCAGACCGACGUUAUCCGGUACAUGCUUACCCGGCCGAUUGUGAAGGGCCGAAUUGGGAAAUGGACGAUGGCGUUGUCCGAGUUUAGUUUGCAAUACGUGCCGCAAAAAGCUGUGAAAGGACAGGCGUUGGCCGAUUUCCUUGCCCAGCACCCUUCGCCUUACGAUUUCGGGGGUGCUGAUGUCGAGAUUGGCAUGGUGGUGACCCGACCCGCGACAACUAUUGGACGAUGUAUUUCGAUGGUUCCAGUACUUCGUCCUCUCGGCCGGUGCAGGCAUCGUCAUUCAGUCUCCUCACAACGAUCGUUGGUAUUUUUUCGCUCAAAUUGGAUUUCGACUGUACCAAUAAUCAGGCCGAGUACGAGGCUCUGGUCAUUGGUCUGGGCCUCCUUCUUGACCUACAUGCCACUCGUGUCCUCGUCCUCGGGGAUUCUGAACUAGUGAUUAACCAAAUUAAUGGGUCUUUUCGCUGCAUGAGUUGUACUCUGGCGCCUUACCACAUGAUCGCCAGCUAUUUGGCCGAGUCCUUUGACGGUAUUACAUUCGAGCAUAUUUCUCGGGUUCAUAAUACCGACGCAGACGAGUUGGCUCAAAUCGCCUCCGGUGCACAACUCCUGGGGGGCAAGCUAGGCCGAGAGAUACCAAUAUUACAACAAUUAUACCCGGCCUUGGUUGAUCAGCAAAUCCUCCGUCGAGACAAUGUGAUACGUACCAGGGUCAUGUCCUUGCCUUCGUUGUUGGAUCGGCAGGACCAGGACUCUAUAGAAAUUUACGCGGCCGAGGCAGUACCAGAUGAUUGGAGAAAGCCCAUUAUGCAGUACCUUGAUAAUCCUAACGGAAAACACAGUCGCAGGACACGGGCUCACGCCACGAACUAUGUCACGUACCAGAGCGAGUUGUACCGAAAGGGCGAAGAUGGUUUGUUAUUGCUAUGCCUCGGCCCUCAAGAGAGUGCUCGAGCGAUCGCAGAGGUUCAUGAAGGGGUAUGCGGAGCUCACCAGUCUAGACGAAAAAUGCGAUGGCUACUCCGACGACACAGUUAUUUUUGGCCGAGAAUACUGAAAGAUUGUAUCGAGUUUGCACGAGGAUGCGUGCAGUGCCAAAUCCAUGGGCCUAUACAAAGGGUCCCGGCCGAAUCGCUACAUUCGGUCAUUAAGCCGUGGCCGUUUAGAGGAUGGGCCAUGGAUGUAAUCGGCAAAAUCACGCCGACUUCUGGAGCUGCUAAGCAUGCAUGGAUAAUAGUCGCAACUGAUUACUUUACUAAGUGGGUCGAAGCAAAAUCAUAUGCCGAAUUAACGUCUAAAGAAGUUUGCGAUUUCGUGGAGGAACACAUUGUGACCCGGUUCGGUGUGCCAGAAACGAUCAUAACCGACAAUGGAACAAUCUUCACAGCCGAAAGGUUUAAGGAAUACACGGCCAAUUUGAAAAUUCGGCUGGAACAGUCCACACCGUAUUAUCCACAGGCGAAUGGGCAGGCCGAGGCAAGUAAUAAAGUGUUGAUUGGCAUCCUCGAAAAAAAUAAUAAAAGAGAGGCCUGGCAUGUGGCAUUUGAAGUUGAACGAGGCAUUAUGGGCAUACCGAACGUCGUCCCGAUCGGCGACUGCAACAACCCCGUACGCAUUGACUUACGGACACGAUGCGGUGCUACCAGUCGAGUUGAGCAUAAAUUCGUUGCGAUUAAUUGAACAAAGUAGUUUGUUUAGCGCCGGAUAUAAUCAGUCCAUGAGACAGGAACUAGAAGAUUUGGAAGAGGCGCGACUUGACGCUUAUAACUUACUGGUGGCACAGAAACAGAUUGCCGAGCGAGCUUAUAACCAAAAGGUACGACAGAAAACGUUCGGCGAGGGUGAAUUGGUGUGGCAAACGGUGUUGCCCGUAGGAAUAAAAGAUCCUAGGUUCGGCAAGUGGUCGCCGAAUUGGGAAGGGCCGUUCAUGGUGCAUAAGGUAUACGGUAAAGGGGCGUAUCAUCUUAAAGACCGGACUGGAGUAGUUCACAAAUUACCAAUUAAUGGGAAGUUCUUGAAGAAAUACUAUCCGGUCACAUGGGAAAUGCGUGAAUAAAAAGUUUGUUGUAGGAAAAGUCAUUCCAUUAAAAUUGACAGGUAUUACAAAAAUGAGUAGGUCUAAUACAUUCAAGGAGACGAGGGAAGAAGAGUGCUGAGCAGAGCUUUCAAUUCCAACCACCGCACGUCGGCCAUGAUGACUUCGGCUUGCCGAUUCUUUUUGUCUAGCCUCAGGCGCUCGAGCCGUUUUUUGGCCGCCGCAUACUCAGUUAGGCGAUCCUUCCCACCUGACUCGAAGUCCCUCGCAAGUUCAGAAGCAAUGACCGACCGGCGUUUUGCUAGUUCGGCCAUCUGACGACGGUCGAGCUCGGCUAACGCUUCUCCUUUUGCCCGUAGAUCGUCAAUCUUCGGACGGAGGGUGUCUUGAACGGCCGUGGCGGCUUGCAGGUCCUGUUCGGCUUCGGCCUUCAGAGCAGUCUGGAAGAUGCCAAAUGUCUCCCGAACGCGCUCCAAAGCAGACGAUGCCCGAACAAUGGCAUCUCCGCUUAGGCGACCGUCGGCCCCAAGGUCGUUUCAGACACACGCCGAGCAGAUCAAGACCGUUGCGCUCAAGUACUUACGAUGAAAGAGAGCGACAGGACUUCUCGCAACUGGGUUAGGGCGCUUGGAUCGGCAGCCUCAGUUGGAGCGGCCGAAGGGCCGGACUCUGCAGUCGUGCUGGAGAGGAGAGCUUUGAAUUCAACCUCCCAUGAAGCCUGCACGAAUAAACAAGGUUAAGCUUAAAGGAAGUCAUGACAAGAAUGGCAAGAAGGUGUCGUUUUUUAACCUGCCGAGAGGAGACCUCGGCCAUGUCCCCAGGGUCGUUGCUCGAACCUAAAGAACUCAAUGGCCGAGCCCAGUGUCUCAGAUUGCUUCUCACUUCACGAGGCCGAUGGAGGUUAUCUACGUUUGAUGGCCACUGAGGCUGCCAGGAAAUAUAGAUAACGCCCUUCGGCGCAUAGAAUUGACGGUGAAAAGAAUGUACAGGCACCUGACAUUUUAGUUUUUUCCUUGUUUAGAAUUCUAAAGCAGAAAAGCAAUCAGGAGGAAAAUUGAAGGUACUUACAAAAGCCGAGGUAACCUCUUGUGGAGGGAUGUGGAAGCCUUGGUCUUGAGGAUGGAUCAGCGAUUCCGCCGUGGCCUCGGGUUCCUCGAGCAGGCGUUUGCCACGGUCGGCUGCCGAUGGGCCGACUGGCGCAGCUGCUUCAGUGGAGGCAGGGACGUCCUGGUCUUGAGAAGGAACGAGAGGUUCGGCCGCCGGGGUCGGUUCCUCGACCGUGCGCUUGCCACGAUUAGCCGAGGAGGGGCCGGGUUGAACCGCCAUCUCGGAUACUGGAGGCGUUUGUUGACGAGUAGGAGGACGACGCGCCAGCGGGACCUCGUCGCUCCCCUCACUCUCUUCCAGCACGAAGACCGUGGGCUUUGGAUUCUUGGGAGAGGUUUCCUCGGUCGUAGAAACCGCCUGGUGUGAGACAGGUGCCUUCUCGACAGAGGGAGGUACGACUGAUUCGCCGGCCACAGAAGCAGGCCGCGCUGGGACCGUCUCUAUGGCCGAAGCCGGCUGUUUCUUGACCUCAGAAUGGCCGGCGGCGGGAGAAGGGGAAGCACUGAGAGUCGUCGUGUGGCUGGAAAUAACGUGGAUCUCCCGUGCACCUUUCUUCGCCAGUUGUUUGACCCGCUUGGCAGGCGGGGAAGGCUCGAUAGCCGGCCCGGCCUCUUGGCGAGGCCGUUUGAUCAGCCCGGCCCUACCAGCAGGUUUGUCCUUUUUGGCCACGACCGAUUUUUUCCCGGCCAUAGCAGCGGAAACUGCCUCUGUCUUUCUCAAAGGCCGACUACCUAAAAGGAUAAAGACAAUUCAGUAGGGCGUACAAUAUGCAAGGUUGAAGAAAAAGGGGGAAUUGAACAACUACCUUGAGAGUGGGGGGCCGGGGCUUUCUUAGGUCGGUUACCGAAGAGCCUGCUUAGUACAUCUUCGACCGGCGCACCGAAGAACUCCUGAGUGUAAUUUUCCCACCACUCACCGAAGGUGUCAGUGCAAUAGGUUUCUGGGGUGGCCGGUCGUAGGCGAAAUCUUUGGCAGUACUCUUGAAACUCCUUCGCGGCAGUCCUGCACUCGUUCUCUGAAGAGCGAGGCUCGCGUCCGCGGCUCAAUACUGUGCGGGAAGAGAGAAGGGGGACGGGACAGCCCUGAAGAUAGCCGAGCUGACGGGCAAGGAAGUUCGGAUGGUACACUUCCCACCCCGACCUUUUCCCGUCGCAGCCGAGAUCAAGGUCGCGAGCAAGCACGAACGACCCCCAGGUUUGGCGAAGAGUGGCAUCCUCCUCUGCGGCCCACGUAGAGGUAGGCAGUCUGAUGGAGGGGGGGUAAUCGCGACGACGACAAAUCAGGAAUUCGUCGCUUGAGAGAUCGUCAAGGGCAAAGAGGUACCUAAAUACCUCUUCGGCCUGAUGAGGAGGCGUUGGUCGGGAGGCUAGCUGAGGACCAAGAGCCUCCGUUGCUGAGAAAUCAGCUAUAGCCGGCCGAAGGGAGGCGAAGUACACCUGCAACCAGAGCUGGAAGACCCAGAGAGGGCCAUUCUGGUGGGGGUCCACCGUGUGGAGAGUCGCCUCGGCCAGGCAACGAAAGAGGUGGGCAAGAAUAUUAGAACUCAGCGCCAGGACGUGACCACUGGCCAGGGCUUCGGCCACUGGCAUAUUAUCGACCAAACAUUUGUUUGAUUUGGUACAACAAAUGUAUUUGUUGUACCAGUAGAAGAGAAAGGCUUCAUGCUCUCCCCUCUCGCAGGUCCUCUUCCCCUCGACCGGCGAAGUGAAGGUAGAGGGUGUUGUAGUUGAGAAAGUUCUUGUGGAGCUUCUGUAUCUCAUCCCUCGACGGGAUGUGACCGUCACUGUUCAGGGUCUCGAAGGCUCGACGGUCGAAGAGCGUCUUCAGAUCGAUAUUCGACGGGUGCCCGGAGAGGGUCGCGUCGAUAGGGAUCCCGGUGGCCGAGGUCCCCAAAAUGACGGUGAUGUCCAGGAUGGUGGGACCAAUGGGACCAAGGGGAAGGACCAUUGUGUUGGUGGCUGAGCACCAGAAGCAUAGAGCGGCUAGGAGCAGCUCCUUGUCAGGGACAAUGUCCAUCGACGAAAGGAGGAUGGCGUCGUAGAUACCCAGGAUUUUCCAUUUUUCGCCGAAGAGCCGUUCCAUUCGGACAACCCAGGUCGCCCAGGUGGUGGUCGUCGAGGGCCAGGAGCCUUGGGGUUUUGCCGCCUCCCAUCUCGACCAUUCAAACCCUUGGAGCAAGGGUGUAAGGCAGUGUUCCUGGAGAAGACCAGUGAUGGUCGGCGGGAUUGUUGCCUUGAAGAGAGGACCCAGGAUUUGGUGGACGGUGCUCAUGUCGUUCUCGAACCGUAUAUUCUUGAUCGAGCUCCGAUCAAGGAUCUUUUGAUGCUGGUCGCAUUCCCCGGAAAGCUUGGAGAUGAAGGAGGCCAUUGUAAAAGCACAGCGUAAGGAGGUUUUCUGGGUUGGGGAUUUGAGGACGAAAACUUGGAAUGGAGGAAUGCACUUGAGAGCAAGGGUAGGAGAUUUCAGGAAGUUUGAGAACGUAAAGUACAAAUGAGGAAAUUUCGGUAUUUAUAGAGUAAUGGGAGGAAGAGCAAUCGUUCGAAAUUCAAAACAAAGGGCAAAGUCGACCGGAGGAAUCGUUGAUCAUGAUGAGCAUUUGGGGAAUGCGGUUGAGAAGACCGACGGUUUUAGGUUUUGGGGGCGCACGAUCGCGUGUGACGGCGAAGUUAAUGACGAAAGACGGUUCGACGCCUGCACGAUGACAGGAGGGCUCACGGACUGAUGAAAUGGCUCGCGAAUUGAGAUAGUGGUCAUAAUGGCGAGACGGUUCGGGCAGGCGCACGCUUCAGACGUCAUUAUCGGGGAUUGGCCAUGUUAGGGGAUGCCACGUGGCAAGUGGUUUAGCAGGAUCAAGAUCGUGCGAUCAUGUUCAAUAAAUGCGCCUUGGAACUCGGGUAUUGGGAUCCUGAGUGGUAGAUUCGCUUCUUCAAGGCCGAAACUCGGCCGAAGGUUUCAGGCCGAGGACCUCAAAAGCGAGGGGGCAAUGUUUGGGCCCAAAAUAACAGUUUGGGCCGAGGGAGGUAUCACUUUCGGCCCGGGAAGACGUACGGCGAGAGAGUCAUGGGGGCGUUCAGAUCAUGGGCUUCUAGGCCUAGAUCGGUUAAAUCAGAGUGCAAGUCGAGUCCUAAUACAAUAGGGACCCUCGACGAGAUCAGUAAAACUAGAAGGCGAAUCCGGCUCAGUUAAGGACUAGAUUCGUAGUCCUAGCAGAGAUAGGACUGAUUGAGGUAACGUUAAUCCGGAGAGGGAAACCUAGUUCGAAUAGGAUUAGAACUCGGGCUCGGUGUUCUGCUACUAUAAAUACAAGACAUUCAGCAAUGGAAAAGCACCACAAAAAUCAAUACAAAAUUGCCCUGCGCAAACUCUCACAACUUGAGAUCUUUUUCUUUUCCUUUUUCGCUGACACAUCUUCCGUUGGCAUCAACAGCACUGUGGAAGCAACCGGUGAUAUCUUAAGUCGGCAUAGAUAGCUCUGUCACCGUAGAGUCGGUCGGUCUCUCGCAGUAUCUUCCGUUGGCAUCAACAGCACUGCGGCGAGAACGGUCGAUUGCCUAUCCAAGUCUCGGUCGAGAAGGGUUUUUCGAAUCCUUGUUGGUCGAGGUCAUCUCAUUAUUAGCCUUCUCGGCGAGGUGAGGUUUACAGUUAUUACAUUCGGCACAUUGUAAGCCGAAUUCGGUUCGUGAACUUUGUAAGAAAUAGCAGCCUUGUCUUCAGGCUCGAGAAGACCCAAGCCGAGACGCGUUCCUUUCGGCCGCAAUCGCAAGACGCAGAAGUCAGUAGCGCGACCCAACGCAGCAUCAUCAAAUUUACUCCUCGGCCGAGCCUCGGCCGACGAGUUGGCACGCCCCGCAAUCACCGAAGGACGUAGUUAGCUUAGAAUAUAUUCGGCCUGCGCGCCACGUAGGCUUUGUAAUUUCUAGGGUCAACAGUAGGUUACUUAUAUUCUUAUGUGGUAGUUUAUUUGACUUUUGCGUUUUUGUUGGAUGUUUAAUUAUAUGUGGGUUUAUGUUUAGAAAUUAUGAUUUUUCAGGACAAAUAUCUAAUGAACCCUAUUUUGUAUACAAUGAGAUUAAGGGAGGAGAUUUAAACUAAGUCAUACAUCAAAUCAUUAUUAAAUACCGGAGGCGUAAUCUUUAAGAUUGAUUAGUCUUGGCAUCUUUGAAAAACAAAAGGAAGAAAUUUUACCAAAAAAUAUGUGAAAGAAAAAAACCAUGGGCGGCAGAAAAAGGUAAUCCAAAACCAUAAUUAGCUUCCCAACUUCGACCAACGAACAAAGGGGCAUUCUAGUCAUUCCACACCUAAAUCCCAACCAUUUUCCUCAGAAAUUACCUUUUUCAGGCGGGCCCACCAAUCUUUUGCCCGUCCAGAAAAUCUGAUAUUUCCUCCAAUAACAGGAGGCAGAUUGUCUGCCUCUUGUAACCAUAUCCUUCUCAUUCCUUCUUAUUUGUACGGUCACGAUUAAGUUAUAUUAACAUUUUAUAUUAAUUUUUUAAUAAAAAUAAUAAGAGCAAAAACAAUAUGAAUAUAAAAUAUUAACGUGAUUUAAUCGUGAUCGCAUAAAUAAAAGGAGAUAAGAAGAGCACGGUAACAAGAGGGUAGACAAUCUGCCUCCCUAAUAACAAGGCCUUGACUGGUUGAUCUCCUUAAAUCAGCCACCAACUCCUCAAUCGUCACCGCAUAUCCAACCGUUCAAAUUGACAAGACAAAUCCAGCCACAAGAUCAUGAAAAGAUCCAACGGCUGAGACAAAAGCACUAGAACCUUCUCCUUCUGACUGCUUUACCUAUCAGCUUAUUUGAAUGUACUUUUAAAAUGAUUGAAAGCGUUUUUAAUAAAAAUAUUUUUAAAAUCAAUUUUUAAUAAAGAUACAAGUAAAUUAAAAAAAAAAAAUUAAAAUGCUUCUUAGAAGAAGCAUAUAACUAAUAUUUCUUACAAAAAGCAAUUUAAAUACUUUUAAAACUUAAAAAUAUUUUAUUUAAAAACGUUUUUAAUUAUUUUAAGACCAUCUCCAACCCUUGGGCUAAAAGCCAAAUUUUUUAGCCCGGAAAAUUUAGCUUUUAGCCCAGAAACAUCUUUUCUGCUCCAACCCUUCUACCCUAAAAUUUUAGCCCGGAAUUAUUAAAGAAUGAAAUUAGCCUAAAUUUUUUUCUUAAAUCAAUUUUUUUUUAAAUAAAUAUGUAGAUUAUUGUAAAUUAAUUUUAUGAACAUUUUAAUCUAAAAAAAUUUAAAUUCCGAUAAACAUUUCGCAUUUAGCCCGGGGGGAAAGCUGUGGGGUAUUUGGCCCAGAAAUAGCAUUUGGCAUUUAGCCUAAAAUUUUAGCAUGGGUUGGAGAGUGUUUGGGGGGGUAAUUUGGGGGGUAAUUUAGCUUUUAGCCCAGGGUAAUGGGAUUUAUUUGAUCUUAUAAUUUUGUUUUUAAUUUUGUGUGCAGUUGGCUGGUGUUGUCGCUGUUGAGAUUAAUGGUGGGCCUGAUGUCCCAUUCCACCCAGGAAGGACGGUCAGUAAGCCUUGAUUUUCUCCGAAUGUUUUGGUUGGAGCCUGUAAAUUUGAUUAAUUACCAUGAAUAUUUUGAGUGAAUUACCUUGGAUAUGUCAUAUAUCAAAUCUUGCUUUGCAUUUGAUUUCUUGUUUGUGAUAUUUAGGCCAUCUCCAAUCGAAUAAGGACCAGAGGGCUAGUUUUAUCCUAUAGUCUUUCAAGAAAUUAAUAUUUUAAUGAACAAUGCAGGACCAUAUUUCUUACCAUCUCCAAUUGAGGGGCCAGAGGGCCAUAAGCCAAAUAUAGCUCUGCGACAAAAAAUCAUACUUCAACCGAGGGGUCAAAUGGUCAUAGGCCAAACAUAGCUCUGCGACAAAAAAUCAUCUCCAACCGAGAGUGCCAAAGCGCCAAAAAUAAUUUAUUAUUUAAAUUUAAAAACUACAACUUAUAUAUUUCAAAUCAAAUGUGAGAGGUUUUAUUUAGAGUAUAAAAACAAAAUGGAGGUGAAGAAAUGAGCUUUGGAAACAGGCCUAUAAUAGUGGGUGCGAGAGUACCACAUGGCCACGGAAGAGAAUUGAGCAAGCAAACAUGCUUAUAAAAGGAACACUCUAACAUUGAACUAACCAUACAUUUUUGGGCCUAUAAUUAAAUAUUUUAUAAAAAAAUUUGGCCCCAAAAAAAAAAGAAAGAAUUCAAAUCAUUUUAACUAAUGUCAGCAUGACGUCAGUUAGCUGUUGGUUUCAAAUUUAUGGCCCAGCCCGGGGCUAGCUGGCUGGCUCCUUUGGGCUAGAUGGUUGGUCCUUUGGCCCUUUUUUGUCCCGUGGGGCCCACGAGCCCGUUGGCCUAGCACUUGGUUGGAGACAAUUUUCAGGCUAUUUUUGGCUCUCUGGACCAUUCAGUUGGAGAUUGCCUUAGAUCUUUGAUGUGUUUUUGUUUGGUCACUUGAAAAUCUUGUUAUCUUUUUGCUUCUGGUGUAUUCAUUUAUUCAAAUGUGUUCGAGGUAGAAAGUUGUAUUGCAUUUGACAGUUAUCUCUUUUCAAUGAUUUCGUUAAAAGAGAUUGCAAUUUGUCUUCUUAGUCGGAUUAAUCAUGUUUGCCUGAAUGCGCCUCCAUGAUUCAAUCGGUCAGUCCAGGUUAUCCUCAUUUCCAGAAACUGAGCUCAUUAAUCAUUGGUCUCGGGCUUUCCGAUGGACAUUAUGUAUUCUGUUUUGCUUAUUUGUGAAUGUUUUGGAUUUUAUUUUCUUUUUCAAAUUGAUGCGUUUGUUUUGUAACUUUUGUUUGUGACAUUUUUCAGUUUGUAACUUAAGCAUGGACUAGUUGUAUUGAUAUUCUUGUUGUUGUACCAGGAUGCCCCCGAGCCACCACCAGAGGGCCUUCUUCCUGAUGCUACCAAGGGUAAAUAUAUAUUGUUGAAAACACUGCACAAAAAUAAAGGACCAGGAACGAGAUUACCAGGAAACUUGAACAACCAAAAGAAACACAGAAAUAUCUUGGGUUGAGUCGCGGACAAUGUCGCUUUCUUUAAGACGUUUCGCGGCUCUGCCCAAGGUGUGCAAGCAGUCUCAAAUGCCACGCCGUCCCCAAGAUAAAACCGCCCAGAGUCACAACUGAACAGAUCUUUCUUUGCACUGAGAAAGAUCUAAUGCUUUCACCCACUCUACUGCUCAGUGUUCACAAAGUAUUUUUUGUUGGUCGUCUACUCAAAACUAGAACCCUAGCACUUUAAAUACUACUUAGAGAUAUUAACGUUGAGAUAGUUGAGAAAAAAAUGCUCACAAAAUCCGGCCAAGAAAACAGGGAAACAAUAUCAGAUUGUUGAGAUAGACUAGGUCUUCAAAACUUUCUGUUGAGAAAAGAUUCUCCUUAAAACUAGGAAACCAACGUUAACCUAAUUGACUAAUUCCAAGUUUUAAAUAAACAUGCAAACCCUAACAUAUAUUUUGACAUGAUCUUAUCUCAAUUGUUUUAGUUUAUGCUUCUCUUGGAUUGUAGGCGAGGAUGUUUUGUCUAGACUGAGUUAAAAAUUACUGUUGAAUUGCUGUAGGUAAUGACCAUUUGAGGGAUGUCUUCUGCAAAACCAUGGGCCUCAGCGACAAGGAUAUUGUUGCUCUCUCCGGUGGUCACACCCUGGUACGUUAACUUUUAUUCUCUUGAUUUCUUUUCUGAAAACUGUGCCAGGUUAUGUAGUCGGUCGGAAAUCCGUUGUUAUUUGGUCAAUGACAAUACUGAUUUCUAUUUGUGCAAUGGCAAUAUGGUAUGUUGCAGGGAAGGUGCCACAAGGAGCGAUCUGGAUUUGAAGGACCUUGGACUCCCAACCCCCUUAUCUUUGACAACUCCUACUUCAAGUAAGUCCCGUUUCCCUGCUAUGUUUACUCAAUAUGUCUAGUUGCAUUGUGAAUUUGAGCUACACAAAUAAUAUCUAAUGCUAUUCGAAUAUG
RNAcentral lists this long non-coding RNA (30331 nucleotides) under Malus domestica (apple). RNAcentral's name for it is "long non-coding RNA (MDOM_LNC002515)". Lineage: Eukaryota; Viridiplantae; Streptophyta; Magnoliopsida; Rosales; Rosaceae. The record is from RNAcentral.